UGCGUAAUAGCUCACUGGUCGAGGGUUUCGGCGCCGAUAAUGAUCGGGAAUAAGCAAUGUACCGAAGCUGCGGGCUGCGUAAGCAGCGGUAGGAGAGCGUUCCUGUCAGCAGAGAAGGCGUCCCGAAAGGGUCGCUGGAGCGUCAGGAAGUGAAUAUGCCGGGUUGAGUAACGAUAAAGCAGGUGAAAAUCCUGCUCGCCGAAAAUCUAAGGUUUCCUGGGGAAGGUAAAUCCGCCCAGGGUCAGCCGGGACCUAAGGUGAGGCCGAAAGGCGUAGCCGAUGGACGGCAGGUUAAUAUUCCUGCGCUACUGUGGAGAUCAAUCAUGAGUGCGGAUCGGUCAGCCCUGCGUAAGCACCAGCUUGCUGAGGCCCUUGAGGCCGCUGCAGGGGGCUCUGGUCCCGAGAAAAGCUCAUGUGGCAAAGCAGUACCCGUACCAAAACCGACACAGGUAGAUGAGGUGAAUAACCUAAGGCGCUCGAGAUAACGGAAGUGAAGGAAUUAGGCAAAUUGACCCCGUAAGUUCGCGAUAAGGGGGCCCUACCCCUCGGGGAGGGCGCAGAGAAAAGGCUCUGGCGACUGUUUAUCAAAAACACAGCACUGUGCUAACUCGCAAGAGGACGUAUACAGUGUGACGCCUGCCCAAUGCCGGAAUGUCACGGAAGCGGGUUAGCUUCGGCGAAGCUCGUAACCUAAGCACCGGUCAAUGGCGGCCGUAACUAUGACGGUCCUAAGGUAGCGAAGUUCCUUGUCGGGUAAGUUCCGACGCGCAUGAAUGGCGUAACGACUGGAGCACUGUCUCCACUUCCGACUCGGUGAAAUAGUAGUGGCGGUGAAGAUGCCGCCUACCCGCGACAAGACGGAAAGACCCCAUGAACCUUUACUGUAGCUUUGCAUUGGACUUUGACGGGACUUGUGUAGGAUAGGUGGGAG
Molecule: ribosomal RNA, 931 nt
Filed under: uncultured Stichotrichia
Lineage: Eukaryota; Ciliophora; Spirotrichea
Description: partial Bacterial large subunit ribosomal RNA
Rfam family: Bacterial large subunit ribosomal RNA
Source: RNAcentral